CCGUCAUUUUUUCCUGUCUUUUACGUUCCUUUGCUUGCUGUGUGUUUUGUGUGUGCGUUUUACACGCGUUUCUCUUACCAGCAAUCGGAAUCGGAAUUUGGUGCUGAAAAGCAGAAGGACGACGUGCGAAACAUUGCCUUAGCCCCCCGAAACACCCGGAAGUCGGUGAAAUCGAAGUGAAAUUAAGGCACAGGGAAAAUGAGUAGCUCUGAGGAGGUAUCAUGGAUUUCCUGGUUUUGCGGACUGCGCGGUAAUGAAUUCUUCUGUGAGGUGGACGAAGAUUACAUACAAGACAAAUUCAACUUGACCGGACUGAACGAACAGGUACCGAACUAUCGUCAUGCUUUGGAUAUGAUUCUGGACCUUGAGCCUGAGGAUGAAAUUGACGAUAAUCCCAACCAGUCGGAUCUGAUCGAACAGGCAGCAGAGAUGCUUUACGGUUUGAUUCAUGCUAGAUACAUUCUUACUAACCGUGGCAUAGCUCAAAUGAUAGAAAAAUAUCAAAGUGGCGACUUUGGUCACUGCCCACGCGUUUAUUGUGAGAGUCAACCAAUGCUUCCACUAGGUCUGUCGGAUGUACCCGGUGAGGCAAUGGUAAAGUCCUACUGUCCCAAAUGCAUCGACGUUUACACACCAAAGUCCUCUAGACAUCAUCAUACUGAUGGCGCAUACUUCGGAACUGGAUUCCCGCACAUGUUGUUCAUGGUACACCCAGAGUACCGUCCUAAACGUCCUGCAAAUCAAUUCAUACCACGUCUCUACGGUUUUAAGAUUCACUCGUUAGCGUAUCAAAUCCAGCUGCAGGCAGCAGCGAACUUUAAGGCACCGCUUCGAGGGGUAAAUGGCAAUCGUGAUGUAUUACCGAAAGUUUAACCUUAUAAACAUUAAGAAUGGAAGACGAAAGCGUGGUUUGUUUAGGUUGUCUACCAGCAGAAAUGUGUUACUUUGUCUUUCGUUGUUUGGAGUGUUUGGAAUCCGGAAUACGCUAUUUCAGUUUCGUCACCACGGGAAAUUGGGUUUCAAAUUUUCUAGAAUGUUGUAUAAACGAGAUAUACUUCUUGUAUGUAAAAGUUUUAAUGAAACAAUCAUUGCGAAUUUCUUUAUAAAGAUAAAUUGAAGAAACUGUUUUUCUUCAAUAGUACUGAUACCUUGAUUUUGUUUUGUUCUAUUAUCACUCUUUUAUACUGUACUGAUCGCACAAACUAUCAAGCUGGUCCUUUUUAUUAAACGUACAAUCAUCACAGGCAUCGCUCCGACAUUUCCCUUGCUGUUGUUUCUAAUAUUAGUUUUAUGAGGAUAGUAAAGUAUCUGGAAAUGUGUAAUGCGACUAUAUGGGUAUUAGUUGAUCAUGUUCCUCUGUCGGUUCUAGGAGCAUAACCUAAACAGAACAAUACACAUAAAAAAACCAUUAUGUUCGAACAAAAUGCAUUAAUAGUCUCUAAUGAUCCUUGUUAAUGGAAAUAUUCUAUUAAAUUUCUAAUUCUUCACUGUAUCUGGACGGUACACAAACCCCUGAUGAGAACCUCAUUGCCCAUCACUCAGGAUUUAAACCACUGAGCAAAUUUGAAUAAGUGAUCAUUGAAAUACUAAACUUAUUUUCCGUUUUCUUCCCUGUUUUAUUUUGUUGUUGUAUCUAAAACCUUCUCGUUGGUGUAUCGUGCAUUGCAUAAUGUGAAUAAUCAUCGUCCUGCCCUCCUGUCCUGUACCGCAAUGCUACAUCAACCGCAAAAAACGUAAUGUAUUUCAAUACUUGAAGAGCUCGGCGAAGGGCAUCGAUAACUGAACCGCAAGCCGCCGAGACUAUAUCGAGAAGAUAGUUUGAGCCACCCUCCCGAUAUAGGAUCAACUACUCCCCACAUCAAGCGGCGUGGCGUGCGAGGGUGCAUGUGUGUAUUUGUGUGGGUGUAUGUGCAUGUGGUUAAGGGUAAGCCUGCAGAAGUGGAAGAACCUGUGUGGAGAAUUUAGCAGAACGCAAAACACAUGUAGAACACGCUAAGCGUCGUUCGCUAGGAUUUUUAUUUUUAGUUUUAGAACGUUGAUUUCUUUAUCGUCCCUCGUCCAUAUACCUUCUGUCCGCUUUAGAGUUCUCAGGAGCUUGGUAAAGGAAUAUGGAUGAAAAGCCGCACACGGAGUAAAGGAUCCGUCGUUGGAUUGUUAUUGUAGAGUAGCGUUCUAUAGGUGUAAUGUUUUGGCUAGGGUUCUUAAUACGAUUGCGUGCGCCUGUAAAACCUUACGUGAAAGAUCAAAUGCAAACACCACCACAAUGCACAUAUGCGCACACUUACAUGUAGCACACAUACACACACACACAGGACAGGAAAGAAAAAAACAAUUAAGGUAAUCGAUGUAGGAAAAUAGGACGGCGGCGGGGACGGGCAAGGAUAAGGAUGAUGAAAGCGAUGAAUUAACAAUAUUGUCAAAAUCCUAAACUAUUCGAACCUCGUACUGGGCAAAUCUUUAUCAGUUCGCAUACAUGGAACGUCUUUUUUCUUAUUGCCUUUUUGUUCACAUAGAGCAGCUCGAGUAAUUCGCGAGGGACGAGCGUUAGAACCAUCUGUAGCUAAACAGGUGGAUGGAUAGGAAGAUACCAUGCUUAUAAAGCUUAUUAGUCUGGUCUCGAUGGUGAUGAGGCGCAAAUAUAUUGUAUAGUUCGAUUUUUCUCUUCGCGAGAGAAAUCAUUUGCGAUUGUUCGAAGAAAGUAAUUUAUUUUCCAUUUGCCUUUUUUAAUUCGCCCGAUUUUGGUGAUUUAUGUGCGCUUCUUGAAGCAAAAUAAGACCUGUACAAUAAUAGCCACUUCCUUUUUUUCUGCUAGGAAAUCUAUCCUAUGUCCACGGAUCUGUGGUGCACUGGAAAAAGCUACAUAUUGGAAGAAUAUCUAGAUUGUUUAAUAGCUUUUGUUCCACUACUUCUUAUUCUGGAAUAAUUUUGUAAUAUGUUGCUAGUACUACCGCAUCCAUAAUGCCCGUCACAUUCGCAGAGUUCAGAAUAACAUUUGGCGAAGCAAAGAGAGCGAGGAAGUGAAACAAAUAAAAUAAAAGAACAAUAACUAUACUGAAAAGGAAGAACAGAAAACCACAAAAAAAGAAAUAGACAAACAUGUAGCGUAAAAAUUGGAGGCCGAUCCACGAGCCAUAAGAAAAUUUCCACACAUUAAGAGAUAAUGCAAAAAUCAUUAAAAAGAAAAAACACGACCACCAACAUCGUUUAUCAUCAUCCCCACCAACACUCAGCCACAGUGUGUUGAUGUCGCUUUCCCGGCAAGAGCGUAGGGGGCCCGUGUGUAGGCUUAGGUAAUAAUACUUUUUAACAUUUUAGUUAUCCUUUUCCCCAUCAAAACGAUAAACGAAAAACAAUGGAAACAGACAGACAGACGGAUCGAAGAUAGAGUAUCUUUUUCACAUAUUUAUCUGUUUUUGUUGUACUUUGUGUGAGGCAGGGUGAAAAUUAGUUCCAUUUGCUCUUUUUCCUCCCUUUCUUGCCCACCCGGCUAUCUCAAGAAUUCACUGCAAAGCGCCUUUUCUUUCUCCGUGCGUGUUUCUUCCCUCCCAUUUCUCUUGCAAUUCGAAGAUGGUAUGGAGGUGUCCUUGCCUUUUCGCUACUGUUUCCAUAAACUUAGGGCAUUUUGUUUUUAUACCGAGGGAGACUGCUUCUGUUUUCUCGUCAACUAUGAUUUACAUUAAUAUCUAAUUAGAAGAAAAUGGCAUUUGCAAUUUAUAUGCAUCAUGCAGCAACAGCAGCAACAAGAUGAAGGAGGAAGGAAGGAACUUGUAGGAACUAUUUCGCGUUCCCUUUUGGGGGAAAACUAUAUUAAUAAUAAUAAUAAUAACAAAAGAAACUUGAUUGCUAGUAAACGAAUGCGGAAACAGAUCGAUGAGUAGUAGUAAAUGGGAAAUGUAAUAGACACACAACAGCAUGUACUGAAGGAUAAGAAAUACAGAAACAAAAAAAAAAAGAUUCAAUAAUAACAACCGAACAACAGCAACAAAUAAAACCUCCAAAAUUCUUUCUC
This is an RNA transcript of Anopheles moucheti, 4009 nucleotides long. It is a transcript of the gene named casein kinase II subunit beta, with no coding region annotated. The record is from RefSeq and is a predicted model, not a curated record. Lineage: Eukaryota; Metazoa; Arthropoda; Insecta; Diptera; Culicidae. The transcript is spliced from 7 exons.